RNAcentral lists this ribosomal RNA (498 nucleotides) under uncultured bacterium. Its description in RNAcentral is "partial 16S ribosomal RNA". It matches the Rfam family "Bacterial small subunit ribosomal RNA", at positions 30 to 523 of the family's 1533-position model. The record is from RNAcentral.
AUUGAACGCUGGCGGCAUGCCUUACACAUGCAAGUCGAACGGUAACAGGUCUUCGGAUGCUGACGAGCGGCGAACGGGUGAGUAAUGUAUCGGAACGUGCCCAGUUGUGGGGGAUAACUGCUCGAAAGAGCAGCUAAUACCGCAUACGACCUGAGGGUGAAAGCGGGGGAUCGCAAGACCUCGCGCAAUUGGAGCGGCCGAUAUCAGAUUAGGUAGUUGGUGGGGUAAAGGCUCACCAAGCCGACGAUCUGUAGCUGGUCUGAGAGGACGACCAGCCACACUGGGACUGAGACACGGCCCAGACUCCUACGGGAGGCAGCAGUGGGGAAUUUUGGACAAUGGACGCAAGUCUGAUCCAGCCAUGCCGCGUGCGGGAAGAAGGCCUUCGGGUUGUAAACCGCUUUUGUCAGGGAAGAAAAGGCUCCUUCUAAUAUAGGGGGCUCAUGACGGUACCUGAAGAAUAAGCACCGGCUAACUACGUGCCAGCCGCCGCCGUAA